Unclassified non-coding RNA from Callithrix jacchus (white-tufted-ear marmoset), 299 nucleotides. It matches the Rfam family "Metazoan signal recognition particle RNA". From Rfam's summary of the family: The signal recognition particle (SRP) is a universally conserved ribonucleoprotein. It is involved in the co-translational targeting of proteins to membranes. The eukaryotic SRP consists of a 300-nucleotide 7S RNA and six proteins: SRPs 72, 68, 54, 19, 14, and 9. NCBI's taxonomy places the organism in Eukaryota, Metazoa, Chordata, Mammalia, Primates, Cebidae. The record is from Ensembl.
GCUGGGCACAGUGGAACAUGUCUGUAGUUCCGCCUACUCAGGAGGCUGAGAUGGGAGGAUUGCUUGAGUCCAGGAGUUCUGGGCUGUAGUAAGCUAUGCUGAUCACAUGUCCGCACUAAAUUUGACAUCAAUAAGGUGACCUCCUGGGAGUGGGGGACCACUAGGUUGCCUAAGGAGGGGUGAACCGGCCCAGGUUGGAAAGGAAGCAGUCAAAACUCCCGUGCUGAUCAGUACUGGGAUUGCGCCUAUGAGUAGCCACUGCACUCCAGCCUGGGCAACAUAGUGAGACCCCUUCUCUA